RNAcentral lists this signal recognition particle RNA (99 nucleotides) under Clostridiales bacterium. RNAcentral's name for it is "signal recognition particle sRNA small type". It matches the Rfam family "Bacterial small signal recognition particle RNA". Rfam says of the family: The signal recognition particle (SRP) is a universally conserved ribonucleoprotein involved in the co-translational targeting of proteins to membranes. Archaeal SRP consists of a 7S RNA and homologues of the eukaryotic SRP19 and SRP54 proteins. In most bacteria, the SRP consists of a 4.5S RNA and the Ffh protein (a homologue of the eukaryotic SRP54 protein). The record is from RNAcentral. Lineage: Bacteria; Bacillati; Bacillota; Clostridia; Eubacteriales.
GGGCGGGCUCUGUACGGCGGGAUGCCGCGAACCAUGUCAGGCGGGGAACCGAGCAGCAUUAAGCGGAUUUUCCCGGGCGAUACAGGUGGUCUGUUCGUC